GAUGAACGCUGGCGGCGUGCCUAAUACAUGCAAGUCGAGCGAACAGACGAGGAGUUUGCGCCUCUGACGUUAGCGGCGGACGGGUGAGAAACACGUGGAUAACCUACCUAUAAGCCUGGGAUAACUUCGGGAAACCGGAUCUUAUACCGGACAAUCUAUUGAACCGCAUGGGUCAAUAAUUAAAUACGGUUUUGCUGGCCCUUAUAGCUGGAUCCGCGCCGCAUUAGUUAGUUGGUAAGGUAACGGCUUACCAAGGCAACGAUGCGUAGCCGACCUGAGAGGGGGAUCGGCCACACUGGAGCGUAGACGGGGUCCAGGCGCCUACGAGAGGGACCAGUAGGGUAUCUUCCGCAGUAGGCGGGAGCCUGGCGGAACAGCGCCGCGCCUGUGAUGGAGAUCUUCGGAGCGUAAUGCUCUGUUAUUAGGGAAGAACAACUGUGUACGUAACUAUGCACGUCUUGACGGUACCUGAUCAGAAAGCCCCGGCUAACUACGUG
This 497-nucleotide ribosomal RNA is filed under the name uncultured bacterium. RNAcentral's name for it is "partial 16S ribosomal RNA". It matches the Rfam family "Bacterial small subunit ribosomal RNA", at positions 28 to 507 of the family's 1533-position model. The record is from RNAcentral.